Molecule: microRNA precursor, 73 nt
Filed under: Toxocara canis (dog roundworm)
Lineage: Eukaryota; Metazoa; Nematoda; Chromadorea; Rhabditida; Toxocaridae
Description: mir-1175 microRNA precursor family
Rfam family: mir-1175 microRNA precursor family
Source: Rfam by way of RNAcentral
UCAAAAAAGUGGAGGAUUGGGUCUGCACUGAGUGAAAUGGACUAGUGAGAUUCUCAUUCCUCCAUUUAACUGC